AAUUCCCCAUAUGAGAAUGCAACCUAUCCUCUUGAUCUUAGAAAGUUAUGAGAUUACAGUUUAAGGGAAUAACAAAUCUCUUUCAUCACUAAAAGUAAUCAUCAUACAGGUGCCAAAUUCCAAACACGGCAGAGCAAGACUAUUUGACUCAGCCGAUAAAAGGUAGGUGCAUGAAUAAAAUAAGGAACAAAGUGUUUUUGUGCCACUAAUCUGCAUCCAUCUCUUCAAGUGCAGCUUUAGCCGCAGCCUUGGCUUCCUCUAACAAAUCGGCAGGAACCUAUGGCAACAUUAAAUAGCAGCACGAGUUACCAACCAGAUUUUUAUUUCAGUUAACAUCAAUUACAUUCAUUCACCAUUAUGAUAUACAUUGCAUGCAGACAAAAUAAAAGUAUGAUGGAAAAUUACAAAAGUAAUAAAUAAGCUAAAAAUGUCAUUUGCUUUAAUAUCUUUGUUUUUGCUUCUGUGACAGGUGCAGGCAAAAAAUCAAGAAAAUGUCGAGUCAACAUUAGCAUUUAACACAAAGAUAUCAGUUCCUAUUAAAAGUGUCCUCGGAAGGAUAGUGAAUCACCUUCUGAUGCUGUCGGUUAGACUCAUCACACACCCAA
This 605-nucleotide long non-coding RNA is filed under the name Nicotiana tabacum (common tobacco). RNAcentral describes it as "long non-coding RNA (NTAB_LNC007503)". Lineage: Eukaryota; Viridiplantae; Streptophyta; Magnoliopsida; Solanales; Solanaceae. The record is from RNAcentral.